Molecule: long non-coding RNA, 493 nt
Filed under: Homo sapiens (human)
Lineage: Eukaryota; Metazoa; Chordata; Mammalia; Primates; Hominidae
Description: non-protein coding ASTN2-AS1:4
Source: RNAcentral
AACCAAGGUGAGGGCAAAGAGGACGGUAAGGGAGAAAGAAAGAAAGAAGGGAAGAUCCCCAGAGACGUGAAGAUGCAUGGAAUAACACGUGAAGAGAGGAAACUUCGGGCCUGUGGUCAAAAUGUGUUCACCACGGCAGACAACUGCUUGGGUGACAGCUUUGGCCUCUGGAUGAAUUCUCCUUGGCGAGCAAUCGUCCCACCUGUAGGUGCCUUCAUGAUCGUCUGUGUGCAGGGCACCAAGCAGGCCAUCUAAAGCCACUAAUCUCAAAGAGAGCUUACCCAGGGACAGGACUUUCCAAAAGGAAAGGAGCACAAUAGAAGAGAAUGGCUGCUGCUAAGUUCCAUCCAACAGUGGCCUCUUUUGAAAAGUCGUCCUCAUCCACAGAUGGUCAACAUUAUGAUGGAAUUUUGUUUUCCUCUCAUGUGAAUUUGGAGCUGAUAGAUGCUUCUCAGCUCCUUGCUGGGACCUCACUGACAAACCCGCUGGCCCC